Streptococcus pseudoporcinus LQ 940-04 is the source of this 72-nucleotide non-coding RNA. The record is from Rfam. NCBI's taxonomy places the organism in Bacteria, Bacillati, Bacillota, Bacilli, Lactobacillales, Streptococcaceae.
GGUCCGUUGGUCAAGGGGUUAAGACACCGCCUUUUCACGGCGGUAACACGGGUUCGAAUCCCGUACGGACUA